RNAcentral lists this ribosomal RNA (468 nucleotides) under uncultured bacterium. Its description in RNAcentral is "partial 16S ribosomal RNA". It matches the Rfam family "Bacterial small subunit ribosomal RNA", at positions 28 to 507 of the family's 1533-position model. The record is from RNAcentral.
GACGAACGCUGGCGGCGUGCUUAACACAUGCCAGUCGAACGGAAAGGCCCUGCUUUUGCUGCGUUCUCGAGUGGCGAACGCGUGAGUAACACGUGAGUAACCCCCCCUUGACUUUGGGAUAACUUCAGGAAACUGGGGCUAAUACCGGAGAGGAGCUCCUGCUGCAUGGUGGGGGUUGGUAAGUUUCGGCUGUUGGGGAUGUACUCGCGGCUUAUCAGCUUGUUGGUGUGGUAGUGGCGUACCAGGGCUAUGACGGAUAGGCGGCCUAGGAGGUGGGCCGGCCACAUUGGGACUGAGAUACGGCGCAGUAUGCUACGGGAGGCAGCAGGGGGGAAUAUUGCACAAUGGGCGGAAGCCUGAUGCAGCAACGCCGCGUGCGGGAUGACGGCCUUCGGGUUGUAAACCGCUUUCGCCUGUGACGAAGCGUGAGUGACGGUAAUGGGUAAAGAAGCACCGGCUAACUACGUG